UCAUUCCCAAUCUUAUCCUUUCUCGUGUGCCCACACAUCCCACGAAGCAUCCUCAUCUCCGCUACACCCAUUUUAUGUACGUGUUGAUGCUUCACCGCCCAACAUUCUGUGCCAUACAACAUCGCUGGCCUUAUUGUCGUCCUAUAAAAUUUUUCCUUGAGCUUCAGUGGCCUACGACAGUCACACAACACGCCGGAUGCACUCUUACACUUCAUCCAUCCAGCUCGUAUUCUAUGGUUGAGAUCUCCAUCUAAUUCUCCGUUCUCUUGCAAGAUAGAUCCUAGGUAGCGAAAACGGUCGCUUUUUGUGAUCUUCGCUAGAUUGCUCCGGUCAUUAGUGUGGAUAAG
This 347-nucleotide long non-coding RNA is filed under the name Malus domestica (apple). Its description in RNAcentral is "long non-coding RNA (MDOM_LNC010696)". The record is from RNAcentral. Lineage: Eukaryota; Viridiplantae; Streptophyta; Magnoliopsida; Rosales; Rosaceae.